UCCCCUCCCUGUCUGUCCCCUCCCUGCCCCUUCCCUCCUGAGUGUCGCUUCACAAUUGCCCCUGUUUCCACAACAGAAAUUUGAAAAGGAGUCUUUGCCGAAGUUCAGGCACCAAAUUGAAACUCACCUUCCUGCUACCUGUAUGAACAGUUGGCGCAAGUCUCCGGAUCUUCGCGGGGGCUCGUCUCUGCAAGGCCCCCAUGUAGACCCGGAGUCGGCAAGCGUGCGCCUUUCGAGUCCCUGGAAGAGAACACGAGUGGUCCCCGUGCUUCAGGGGACAAAUCCCUGACCCCGUUCCGCUCAGGUCGGCGUCCGGACGUCCCCUGGGGCGGUGACCCCUCCGGGGCAGGGCCCUUGGCCUCCCAGCCUCGCCCUCGGCCUUCUUUUGACACCCUGUGGUCGGCCCCGCCCUCUGCCUCAGGGCUGCAGAGCGAGCUGUGGUUUGGGCCCUGAGCCGGGGUGUUUCCCAGGACAGGACGCUGCCCGUCGGGGAAGCUCUGACCUCACCUUCUCCCAAGUCCCAGGUCGCCGGGAGCCGUCGAUGUCACUGUUGUGCCUGAUUUUUCUCCCACGUGGAGCGGCUCCUGCCUUGCAGCCCCUCCCACCCGUCGGUGUGGACGGAGAUGCAUUUACCUACUUAGGAAUGAAAUUAGAGCAGGCUCAUUAAUAACUCAUGUGAACUCAUUUUUCUAAGAAUUUGAUGGAAGAAUUAGUUGGUAUUAAAAAUGCUGUGGUUUUUAA
Hyaena hyaena (striped hyena) is the source of this 741-nucleotide long non-coding RNA. RefSeq lists it as uncharacterized. Lineage: Eukaryota; Metazoa; Chordata; Mammalia; Carnivora; Hyaenidae. The record is from RefSeq and is a predicted model, not a curated record. The transcript is spliced from 4 exons.